UCCUACGGGACGCAGCAGUGGGGAAUAUUGCACAAUGGGGGAAACCCUGAUGCAGCAACGCCGCGUGGGUGAAGGAGCGUUUCGGCGCGUAAAGCCCUGUCAGCGGGGAAGAAGAAAGACGGUACCCGACCAAGAAGCCCCGGCUAACUACGUGCCAGCAGCCGCGGUAAUACGUAGGGGGCGAGCGUUAUCCGGAAUUACUGGGUGUAAAGGGAGCGUAGACGGCAAUGCAAGUCCGGAGUGGAAUGCGGCAGCUCAACUGCCGAACUGCUCUGGAAACUGUAUGGCUUGAGUGCAGGAGGGGG
This 305-nucleotide ribosomal RNA is filed under the name uncultured bacterium. Its description in RNAcentral is "bacterial SSU rRNA". It matches the Rfam family "Bacterial small subunit ribosomal RNA", at positions 337 to 658 of the family's 1533-position model. The record is from RNAcentral.